GACGAACGCUGGCGGCGUGCCUAAUACAUGCAAGUUGAGCGAUGAAGAUUGGUGCUUGCACCAAUUUGAAGAGCAGCGAACGGGUGAGUAACGCGUGGGGAAUCUGCCUUUGAGCGGGGGACAACAUUUGGAAACGAAUGCUAAUACCGCAUAACAACUUUAAACAUAAGUUUUAAGUUUGAAAGAUGCAAUUGCAUCACUCAAAGAUGAUCCCGCGUUGUAUUAGCUAGUUGGUGAGGUAAAGGCUCACCAAGGCGAUGAUACAUAGCCGACCUGAGAGGGUGAUCGGCCACAUUGGGACUGAGACACGGCCCAAACUCCUACGGGAGGCAGCAGUAGGGAAUCAUCGGCAAUGGACGAAAGUCUGACCGAGCAACGCCGCGUGAGUGAAGAAGGUUUUCGGAUCGUAAAACUCUGUUGGUAGAGAAGAACGUUGGUGAGAGUGGAAAGCUCAUCAAGUGACGGUAACUACCCAGAAAGGGACGGCUAACUACGUG
RNAcentral lists this ribosomal RNA (497 nucleotides) under uncultured bacterium. Its description in RNAcentral is "partial 16S ribosomal RNA". It matches the Rfam family "Bacterial small subunit ribosomal RNA", at positions 28 to 507 of the family's 1533-position model. The record is from RNAcentral.